RNAcentral lists this ribosomal RNA (253 nucleotides) under uncultured prokaryote. Its description in RNAcentral is "partial 16S ribosomal RNA". It matches the Rfam family "Bacterial small subunit ribosomal RNA", at positions 524 to 776 of the family's 1533-position model. The record is from RNAcentral.
UACAGAGGUCCCAAGCGUUGUUCGGAUUCACUGGGCGUAAAGGGUGCGUAGGCGGUCGGGUAAGUCUGAUGUGAAAUCUCACAGCUUAACUGUGAAACUGCAUUGGAUACUAUUCGGCUUGAGAGUUGGAGGGGGGACUGGAAUUCUUGGUGUAGCAGUGAAAUGCGUAGAUAUCUGGAGGAACACCGGUGGCGAAGGCGGCAUCCUGGACCGGCAUUGACGCUGAUGAGCGAAAGCUAGGGGAGCAAACGGG